Molecule: ribosomal RNA, 407 nt
Filed under: uncultured bacterium
Lineage: Bacteria
Description: partial 16S ribosomal RNA
Rfam family: Bacterial small subunit ribosomal RNA
Source: RNAcentral
AUUGAACGCUGGCGGCAGGCCUAACACAUGCAAGUCGAGCGGACCGGCGGACGGGUUCGUAAUGCCUAGGAAUCUGCCUGGUAGUGGUGGAUAACGUCCGGAAACGGGCGCUAAUACCGCAUAAUAUCAGAUGAGCCUAUGGCGGAUUAGCUAGUUGGUGGGGUAAAGGCCUACCAAGGCGACGAUCCGUAACUGCUCUGAGCGGAUGAUCAGUCACACUGGAACUGGAACACGGUCCAGACUCCUACGGGGGGCGGCAGUGGGAAAUAUUGGACAAUGGGCGAAAGCCUAAUCCGGACAUGCCGCGUGUGUUAGGAAGGUCUUCGGAUUGUAAAGCACUUUAAGUUGGGAGACGUUACCAACAGAGUAAGCACCGGCUAACUUCGUGCCAGCAGCCGCGGUAAUAC